CAUGGCUUUUUGUUAUUUAUAUAAGGUCUAACCUGCCCAAUGAUGUAAUUAAAUGGCCGCGGUAUUUUGACCGUGCAAAGGUAGCAUAAUCAUUAGUUUUUUAAUUGAAAGCUGGAAUGAAAGGUUGAAUGAGAAAAUGACUGUCUUUAUUAUAUUUAAUUAAAACUUUAUCUUUAAGUUAAAAAGCUUAAAUAUUAUUUAAAGACGAGAAGACCCUUUAGAGUUUUAUAAAAAAUUAUUUUUUGGCCUUUAAGAAUUAACUAUAAGAAAAUUAAUUUUUAUUUAGUUGGGGCGAUUAAAAAAUUUAAAAAACUUUUUUUUUUAUUUAACAUUAAUUUAUGUAUAUUUGAUCCAUAUAUUAUGAUUAUAAGAUUAAAUUACCUAAGGGAUAACAGCGUUAUUUUUUUUGAGAGUUCUUAUCGAAAAAAGAGAUUGCGACCUCGAUGUUGGAUUAAAAUUAAAUUAUGGUGCAGAAGCUAUAAC
Molecule: ribosomal RNA, 483 nt
Filed under: Meligethes auropilosus
Lineage: Eukaryota; Metazoa; Arthropoda; Insecta; Coleoptera; Nitidulidae
Description: partial large subunit ribosomal RNA
Rfam family: Archaeal large subunit ribosomal RNA
Source: RNAcentral